Molecule: non-coding RNA, 46 nt
Organism: Schistosoma mansoni
Lineage: Eukaryota; Metazoa; Platyhelminthes; Trematoda; Strigeidida; Schistosomatidae
Source: Rfam
GCACUGCUGAGGAGUCCCCUAAUAGGACGAAACGGCCGUCCAGUAC